Molecule: long non-coding RNA, 567 nt
Filed under: Malus domestica (apple)
Lineage: Eukaryota; Viridiplantae; Streptophyta; Magnoliopsida; Rosales; Rosaceae
Description: long non-coding RNA (MDOM_LNC000385)
Source: RNAcentral
GUUUGUAGUUUUUCAAACCCAUUCCUAGUUUCAACAUGACGACCACUCACAAUGCAGGUAUAAGGCCUUAAAGGUUGAACUUAGAGGUACAAAGGACUUAGAUGUACCCUGGUUAAUGAUUAGUUAUUUAUAUGACAAACAUUCAACUAUAAUAGAGUGCUCAACAAAGUAAGAUAUGUUGCAGUCAUAUUUAGAAUAGGAAUGUGAUUGUGUAAAUCCUAGAGAAUAUGGGAAAGUAUCUUAUAUUCCUAUUAGGAUUAGAUUACCUAUUAAAUAUUGUAAUCCUAAAGAGAAAGGUUUUACCCUUCCUACUACUAUAAAUAAAGGCACAAUGGGGUGAAUCAAACACACCUCACAUUUAAAUCAAUCUCUCUUCUCUCUCAAUAUUGCCGAACCACCCUUCUCUCUCUAAACCCUAGAUCGUUCAAUCAAAUAGGCCUACAACACAUUAUCAGUACGCUCUUGCCAGAAGCUGAGGAAUUGAAACAUCGUUGGAGGAGGCUAUCAUCCACCAAAUUCAAAGGCUUAUUCGUUUUCUGCUAAUCAGGUACGCUUAAAAUAAAAGAA